RNAcentral lists this ribosomal RNA (225 nucleotides) under uncultured bacterium. Its description in RNAcentral is "partial 16S ribosomal RNA". It matches the Rfam family "Bacterial small subunit ribosomal RNA", at positions 1277 to 1500 of the family's 1533-position model. The record is from RNAcentral.
AAAACACGGUCUCAGUUCAGAUUGCAGGCUGCAACUCGCCUGCAUGAAGUUGGAAUUGCUAGUAAUCGCGAAUCAGAAUGUCGCGGUGAAUACGUUCCCGGGCCUUGUACACACCGCCCGUCACACCAUGAGAGUCGAUAACACCCGAAGCCUGUGAGCUAACCGUAAGGAGGCAGCAGUCGAAGGUGGGGGUUGAUGAUUGGGGUGAAGUCGUAACAAGGUAAC